Molecule: ribosomal RNA, 253 nt
Filed under: uncultured bacterium
Lineage: Bacteria
Description: partial 16S ribosomal RNA
Rfam family: Bacterial small subunit ribosomal RNA
Source: RNAcentral
UACGUAGGGGGCAAGCGUUGUCCGGAAUCAUUGGGCGUAAAGAGCGUGUAGGCGGCCCGAUAAGUCCGCCGUGAAAGUCCAGGGCUCAACCCUGGAAAGCCGGUGGAUACUGUCGGGCUAGAGUCCGGAAGAGGCGAGUGGAAUUCCUGGUGUAGCGGUGAAAUGCGCAGAUAUCAGGAAGAACACCAAUGGCGAAAGCAGCUCUCUGGGACGGUACUGACGCUGAGACGCGAAAGCGUGGGGAGCGAACAGG